RNAcentral lists this ribosomal RNA (329 nucleotides) under uncultured Solirubrobacterales bacterium. RNAcentral describes it as "bacterial SSU rRNA". It matches the Rfam family "Bacterial small subunit ribosomal RNA", at positions 21 to 357 of the family's 1533-position model. The record is from RNAcentral. Lineage: Bacteria; Bacillati; Actinomycetota; Thermoleophilia; Solirubrobacterales.
GGCUCAGAACGAACGCUGACGGCGCGCUUAACACAUGCAAGUCGAGCGAGAACCGAGCCUUCGGGCUCGGGGACAGCGGCGAACGGGUGAGUAACACGUGGGUUACCUGCCCCGAUGACCGGGACAACUCGAGGAAACUCGGGCUAAUACCGGAUGUGCCCGCAAGGGGAAAGGAAGCUUCGGCCUCCGCAUCGGGAUGGGCCCGCGGCCCAUUAGCUUGUUGGUGGGGUAAUGGCCUACCAAGGCGACGAUGGGUAGCUGGUCUGAGAGGACGAUCAGCCACACUGGGACUGAGACACGGCCCAGAGUCCUACGGGAGGCAGCAGUGG